Long non-coding RNA from Rhododendron vialii, 826 nucleotides. RefSeq lists it as uncharacterized. NCBI's taxonomy places the organism in Eukaryota, Viridiplantae, Streptophyta, Magnoliopsida, Ericales, Ericaceae. The transcript has 2 exons. The record is from RefSeq and is a predicted model, not a curated record.
UGUCUCGCAGCAGUUUUUGCAGAUUCGUGUUCAAACUUCAAACAGGCAUAACUUUGUCGUUAUAAAUCGAAACGAGGCUUAUAGUAUAUCGAAAUCUAUGUACUGAAAGUGUACUUUCCAACGGUGGUAGUCUGGUAAGCUAAUUUCAAUCGAGUAAAAAGAUAUGGCCAAAAUAAGACAGGCUGGUUGUGGUUGUUAUUCUUGUUUUGAGAGUUUUGUUGCGUUGGGCUGUUUGGUUGAGAUUGUACACUUAUGGGUCUUUAUAUUUGAUAUAUUUGGGUGUGUUGGAGUACCUUGGGGUAUGGAAAAGAUGUGUGAGGUCUCCCGAGUACGUGGGUACUCCCGGACACCUCUGGAGAUUUUGGUGACUUUAUGUAAUGUUUGCCCCAUGAGCUAGUGUAGAAGUGUAGAAGGCAUGUUAUGAUUUGUUAGUCUAGCAUUUGGUUUAACAUUCCUAGAUGUUCAUAUGCUAAUAUGGGUUAACUUGUGGCUAGGUAACGAGCCGGUCUUUUAGGAGGUGCCGAAACCGUAAGUUUGGCAUACUCCAGUCGAAUGAAAGGUGAGUGUGUCUGAUAUGGUUCUUCUCAAUAAGAUAUUGCGAUGGUGGUAGCAGGUGGCUUAGAGUGGGUCCACUACUGGUCAACGCUUUGGAGAGUGCUGGGACUAGUCUCGGGUGAUGUCGUUGGUUAGAUUGUUGUGUAGCUGAUUCGUCUAGAAGUUAACCUAAAUGUCUGUAAUUAAUUGGAGAGAGGGAUAUUUUUAUAACUUGUGAGUUGAGGUUUUGGCGUUGACUUGGUUGUAUUUUAAGUGAGAAGUCUUCCGCUAA